AUGACUCUCAGCAACGGAUAUCUCGGCUCUCGCAUCGAUGAAGAACAUUGCGAAAUGCGAUACUUGGUGUGAAUUGCAGAAUCUCGUGAACCAUCGAGUCUUUGAACGCAAGUUGCGCUCGAAGCCAUUAGGCCGAGGGCACGUCUGCCUGGGCGUCACGCAUCGCGUCGCCCCCUCGCAUAGUGCCUCAAUCAUGGGGCGCAUUUUCAUCGUGGGGCGGAUACUGGCCUCCCGUGCGCCUCGAGCUCGCGGCUGGCCUAAAUGCGAGUCCACGUUGAUAGAUGUCGCGGCAAGUGGUGGUUGCAACUCAACUCUCUUUGCCAUCAUGGCUAUGGCCCAUCGCGCGUCCAGACUCCAGGACCCCUUCGCGCUCAGGUGCUCCGACCGCGACCCCAGGUCAAGCGGGAUUACCCUUUGAGUUUAAGCAUAUCAAUAAGCGGAGGAAAAUAAACUUACAAGGAUUCCCUUAGUAACAGCGAACGAAUCGGGACUAGCCCAGCCUUAGAAUCGGGCGGCUCCGUCGUCCGAAUUGUAGUCUGGAGAAGCGUUCUCAGCGGCGGACUGGGCCCAAGUCCCCUGGAAGGGGGCGCCGGAGAGGGUGAGAGCCCCUUCGUGCCCCUGUCUACGAGUUGGGUUGUUUGGGAAUGCAGCCCAAAUCGGGCGAUGAAUUCCAUCCAAGGCUAAAUACGGGCGAGAGACCGUUAGCGAACAAGUACCGCGAGGGAAAGAUGAAAAGGACUUUGAAAAGAGAGUCAAAGAGUGCUUAAAAUUAUCGGGAGGGAAGCAGAUCGGGGCCAGUGAUGCGCCCCGGUCGUAUGUGGAACAGCGACGAGCUGGUACGCCGAUCGACCCGGGGCGUGGACCAGCAUGGAUUGGGGGGGCGGCCAAAGCCCGGGCUCUAGAUACGCUUGUGGAAUGUCGUCUCCGCGAUUGUGGCAGGCAGCACGCGCCUCUGGCGUGCUUCGGUAUCUGCGCGCUCCGGACGCUGGCCUGUGGGAUACCCAUUCGACCCGUCUUGAAACACGAACCAAGGAGUCUGACAAGUGUGCGAGUCAACGGGCGAGUAAACCCGUAAGGCGCAAGGAAGCUGAUUGGUGGGAUCCCCCCGAGGGGUGCACCGCCGACCGACCUUGAUCUUCUGAGAAGGGUUCGAGUGUGUGCAUACCUUUUCGAGACCCGAAAGAUGGUGAACUAUGCCUGAGCGGGGCGAAGCCUGAGGAAACUCUGGUGGAGGCCCGCUACGAUACUGACGUGCAUAUCGUUCGUCUGACUUGGGUAUAGGGGCGAAAGACUAAUCGAACCGUCUAGUAGCUGGUUCCCUCCGAAGUUUCCCUCAGGAUAGCUGGAGCUCGCGUGCGAGUUCUAUCGGGUAAAGCCAAUGAUUAGAGGCCUCGGGGACGCAACGCCCUCGAACUAUUCUCAAACUUUAAAUAGGUAGGACGGCGCGACUGCUUUAUUGAGCCGUGCCACGGAAUCAAGAGCUCUGAGUGAGCCAUUUUUGGUAAGCAGAACUGGCGAUGCGGGAUGAAUCGGAAGCCGGGUUAUGGUGCCAAAAUGCGCGCUAACCUAGAUCCCACAAAGGGUGUUGGUCGAUUAAGACAGCAGGACGGUGGUCAUGGAAGUCGAAAUCCGCUAAGGAGUGUGUAACAACUCACCUGCCGAAUCAANGAUAACGCUCAAUCUACAGCUCUCGUGAGUGUAAAGCGGUCGUUAGGAAAUAUAUAACCCAACCUGGGUUGGGUGUCGAUCCCACAGGGAAUAGCUUGGCCAACAAGUAAGCAAAAUUACUAAACUUUUGGUGCAAGUCUCGUAAGAAGGGGGAGUCUUGUCGUGCAAGUAAUGUAAACAAAAGCUGAAAAUAAUAAAGUAAAGAGAGAUUGUUACGUAGAUUGUAAACAAUGAGAAUUGAAGCGUUGGGGUUAUGUCCACCUUCUGAGGUAUACGUCUCUAUUGGCUAUGAGUGUGUAGAGUCUUGACAUGCAAUUGCUUAUAGAGAAUUGUAGUCGAUGGUAAAUCCAAGCAUCUCUCGACCUAAACAAGGACUAUUUCACUUUAACUCUCUCGAGCUUAAAGCGUGUCUAACGGUACGAAUUCUCCAAGAGGUUAGUCCAGUUAUGAUACUAGCUUUUUAAUAGGAAAGGGUGUCCUACUACCUUGACAUUAUCUCCUCUCCAGACAAAUAACCUUUCUCUCGAACAAUUUAAAUGUUAGACUGGCGUAUUCUUGCGUUUGCAACCGCAAAGAAUGUGGAUUAAGAUGAAGAGAAUAAUGAUAUAAGCAAUAUACGUGUCUCGAACUCACAAACUCACAGCAAUAGAUAGUAACUCAUUCGGCUUCCAUAACCCCAACAGAGAAGUUUAGUUACCCAUGAAUGCGAAGGAGAUCACGAUUGACAUUGUUUUUAUAUCACAAUAUUGAGUAAUGGCGUUUAGAUCAAGUGAUAGGCGUGAGGCGUGAUUCCUUAGCAAGUAACGUUUCUCUUGUUGCGGAAAUUAAGAAUUGAAUAGAUGAAUAGAAGAAGAAAAAUAGAAGUAAUGGAAAGAUUAGAAGAGUCGUAGAAUUGUUGUGGUGCAAGAAGAGAGGGAUGGAAGAAUGUAUUAUGGUGAGGGAUGAAUAAAAAUCUCUAGCAUGAUAGGGUAUUUAUAAUACCCAUAUCCUACUCCUACUAAGCUAAUGAAAUAAAUAACCAAAUCCUACUAGGCUAAUGGAAUACUUAACCCAAGUGUACUAGGUUAAUGUAACAUUAUCAUAAUCCAAAUAAACUAAUGAAAUACAUAACCCAAUUGUACUAGGUUAAUGUAUCAUUGUCCAAAUCCAGCUAUGUGUCUGUAAGUCCCCAAAGUCUUCAGAAAUGCUGUUUUAGCCCGGGACAGAUUUUCCAUGCAGCAGUUUUGGUCCUUAGGCGUCCAAACUCCCUUUCCUUCCUUCGUGAGCUUUCUUUUGCGUCAAGUAAGCCAUAAAAUGCUGAAUUAUGCAUCAUUUAUACCUGAAACUUUACUAAUCAUGUUCGUUAGCUCAUUUAUAGGAAAAAGGACUAAAAGUGCAUGAAAUAUAUAGUUUGUUCUCAAAACUAGGCUAAAAUAUGGGCAAAAUAUAUUGAUAUAGGCGUGUAAAUUCGCCUAUCAUCAACACCCCACACUUGAAUCUUUGUUCGUACUCGAACAAAAUAUCAUGUCCCUCUACACAUCAACUUUAUGGUUCUUACAGCAACAACACAAAACAUUCGUCAAGACAAGCAC
This 3239-nucleotide ribosomal RNA is filed under the name Capsicum baccatum. RNAcentral describes it as "eukaryotic LSU rRNA". The stretch from base 389 to 1811 matches the Rfam family "Eukaryotic large subunit ribosomal RNA". The record is from RNAcentral. Lineage: Eukaryota; Viridiplantae; Streptophyta; Magnoliopsida; Solanales; Solanaceae.